This is a long non-coding RNA of Manduca sexta (tobacco hornworm), 831 nucleotides long. RefSeq lists it as uncharacterized. The record is from RefSeq and is a predicted model, not a curated record. The transcript is spliced from 2 exons. NCBI's taxonomy places the organism in Eukaryota, Metazoa, Arthropoda, Insecta, Lepidoptera, Sphingidae.
UUUGCCAUUAGAUUACAAUUAUUUUUUUGGACUUCUCAUCACUUCUAAGAUUAAUUAGUAUGUAAACUAACCGAAAAUGACUGCAAGAAAGCUAUAAGUUAAACAUUUGGCAUAUUCUUGUGUUUAAGUUCAAUGAAUUUUGCAUGAUUAGUUCUCGUGGUUUAAAGGUUGUUAAUGUGGGUGUAACUCUUUUUACCUGCGAUUACAAUGAGCUGAGGGGAUAAGAUACCAAAUUAUUGCUCAUUCAAGAAAUGAUUUGUUAAAAAAUAGGAAAAUAAAGUCCUACGUAUGUCAUCCAUUUGCUAAAAGAAAAAUCAGACCCAUAAUAUCGGUCAAGUGAUGCGGUAUUUGAUCCGAUGUAAUAGUUAUUGUUCAAUAAUGAUUGUUUAUAAUCUAUUUUAAUAGCGGUCAGAGGUAAUAGAAAACAGGCUUUGUCCGUUUAGUUUACCUUAUGAAACAAUAACCCUUCAAAACAAUAUCAUUGAUAAGGUUGAACAUUAACAAUUAUCCAUAAAUGCGGAGCAUCUUUAGUAUUAAAAGUCAUAUCGUUUCUGCUGUGCAGAUCCGUUGAAGUUUGAAAUACGCUCAAAUCAAUUCAACUUGAAAUAUUACGUUAACAUAAAAUGGUUUACGCAGCCUUCGCAAGUACCCUGGGCUUGGUAGCUGUGGUAUAUGCUGUGGCUUUGACUUUUAAUAUAGUUUUUAGCAUUUUACCAAAAGCGGACACUCCGACUCUGAUACCACCACUUGAGAAAGACGAACCAGAAAUGAAGAUCCCUCGUAUUAGCCAAUAAGACAAAAACAUUUUUAUUAAAGGAAUUAUAAAACUUA